This 1428-nucleotide long non-coding RNA is filed under the name Betta splendens (Siamese fighting fish). Its description in RNAcentral is "lncRNA (ENSBSLG00000019674.1)". Lineage: Eukaryota; Metazoa; Chordata; Actinopteri; Anabantiformes; Osphronemidae. The record is from RNAcentral.
CAUUAAUUCAGAUCAAUUCAGUUACACAAUUGUAAGAAAAUAAGUGUAUAUACAUAUUCUAUCAUGUAAAUAAAUACUGAGCUUUAGUUUGUUGGUCUACAUGGUCGAUCAUUUAGAGACAAAAAGUAAAACUGGCUGAAUUUAUGAAGAUAUUCUGUAAGUUGCCUUUCCCCCCAUAUUAACUACUGUAGAUCAACAAUCCUAUUUAUUAGAUUUACCAGAUUUUUUUUCUUAGUCUGAGGAAUAUGAUGGAAUAAUCCAUGAUCUAAAUUAAACUAGAAACUGAAACUGUUAUUUACUGGCGGUAAUUUGCAGAACUUUUUUAUUUAAAUUUGAAGUUGAAUUUGUAAAAAUGUGCAUUGUCCUCCAGCUCCAGUGUCAAAGCCAAACGUGUCACAGACGUGUUUGUCACCAGAACAGUCUGUCGUCUGCUGCUCCACUGAGGGAGACGGAGUAGAGUUCAUUUGGAGUUUGGACAACAACAUAUUAGAACAGACCAGAGCUGAGAGCACAAAUAAACCAACAUCCGAGGUUUCCAAUGUCACCAUCAGCUUACACGGCCAGCUCACUGGAAACUUAGCAUGUAUCACUCAGAACGACAUCAGCAGAGAACAAACUGUGAUCCAGCUCAGGAGCUGUAGAGGUAAACUUACCUAAUCAUUUUAAUUGAAGUGCAUGUCUAUUACAAUAAAUUUCUAUAAUAAAACACUGUGUGGGACAGAGAAAUCUUGAUAUUUUCCAUAUUUACUGUGUGUUACUGUAUUCUGUAGGUUCCAUUCACUCUCCUUUUAUGACUGUGACUGAAAAAAUAAAAAAUUUAAAAAAAUGAAGGUGUUCAUUGUCCUCCAGCUCCAGUGUCAAAACCAGAGGUGUCGCAGACGUGUUUGUCACCAGAACAGUCUGUCGUCUGCUGCUCCACUGAGGGAGACGGAGUAGAGUUCAUUUGGAGUUUGGACGACAACAUAUUGAUACAGACCAGAGCUGAGAGCACAAAUAAACCGACAUCUGAGGUUUCCAAUGUCACCAUCAGCUUACACGGCCAGCUCACUGGAAACUUAGCAUGUAUCACUCAGAACGACAUCAGCUCAGAACAAACUGUGAUCCAGCUCAGGAGCUGUAAAGGUUCCAUUCACUCUCCUUUUGUGACUGUAACUGUCGCUGUGAUAGCCAGCGUAUGUGCUUUGCUUCUGCUUUUGGCUCUGUUUCUUUAUGUAAGACACUUACAUAAGACUCCAAGACCUGUGGCUGAUGAAGGUAAGACAAACACAUUCUUUUCAUUUUGCCGUUUGAUUUUGUUAAAUCUUAAUGUAAAAGAUAUACAGUAUAUUUAACAGUUUACUCUGAAGACAGGUUUGCAGAUGCAAUGAUGUUACAUUACUAAUCUGUGGUACAAAUAAAAAAAACAUUAUUUUUGAUAGAUUCUUUGUC